Long non-coding RNA from Vollenhovia emeryi, 1101 nucleotides. RefSeq lists it as uncharacterized. The record is from RefSeq and is a predicted model, not a curated record. The transcript has 3 exons. NCBI's taxonomy places the organism in Eukaryota, Metazoa, Arthropoda, Insecta, Hymenoptera, Formicidae.
GAAAAAGAUACACUUAAGGUCGCUCGGAGUAAAACCGCGUUAGUCAUCGAGUAGUAGUAGAGAGUGUUACGUCCAUUUAUUAAAUGUACCUACUUGUAAAUAAGUUCCAUAAAGAAUGUGUGUAAUAAUCGUAUAAUAAUUUCAAGCUUCUAGAUUUCUGACACAUAGAAUAUAUAAUAUACACGUCACACAUUUUCUUUGUAUACAAUACGUAUACGCAUACAAUUGAUGCAUUAUUAAUUAUAAAAAAAUGCAUAUGUUGGAAAAUUGCGUAUAUCUUAUUGUAACGUAGUAAAACAUGAUAUUGUUUCAUUUAUAUGGUCUUCUCGUGAUUAAUUGAAUCGGUGGAAGGGCCUGGAAAUAAAAAGAAUUUGAUAGGACUGACAUCAUCAAUUCGCAGACGCAGAAUGUUGCAGCAAAACAUGGUGGUUGUAAAGAACGCUGUGAAGCGUUAUGGGAAAGAAGAGUUGGUGCUCGACGGAUUGAAUAUGACGGUUUCAAACGGCUCCAUUGUGUGGCGAGCGUGGCACAGAGAAAUGUGCGCUGCUUAGUAAAUAAACGGUCCGAGUUCAAAUCCAGCGAGGACACCGCUGGUAUUCUCAGACGCCACUUCUCGAAAGAGAAGUGGCAACCACCGAGAGAAUCUCGCCACACAUGCCCCUUUAGCAGCUAACGAGAGGGGGACCGAGAGGAUUGCCGCUAUAAGCAACCAACCCGCUUGCUGGAUAGGGCACUCUCUUGUCCUGAGAGGUGAGAAAUCACCCUCAAAGGCGGAUGAUCUAUUUAAAGUAGUCAACGACAUAGGAUCAGGCAGGCAAGGGGAAACCACCUGAUUAUUUUCCCAAGACAGCGCCUCAUGUAUGUAUGACUCUUCGAGAGCCAACUCAUGAGACGCCACCACGCCCUGUCAAGGGCAAAGGAUUGAGAAGGAGAGAUUGUCAUCGUUUGCAAAAAGUAAACUCUUUGGGGAUUUAUAAGUAUUAUUAUAAUUUCAUAUGGAAUUUCUGACAAUGAGUCUUGUCUUUAGAAUUUCUAUAGCAUUUAAAUAUAUUUGUUACAAAUAAAGUCUAAGAAAAUAUGUAGAAAGUGAGUGCCAAUGUG